CCUACGGGAGGCAGCAGUGGGGAAUCUUAGACAAUGGGGGCAACCCUGAUCUAGCCAUGCCGCGUGAGUGAUGAAGGCCUUAGGGUCGUAAAGCUCUUUCGCCUGUGAUGAUAAUGACAGUAGCAGGUAAAGAAACCCCGGCUAACUCCGUGCCAGCAGCCGCGGUAAUACGGAGGGGGUUAGCGUUGUUCGGAAUUACUGGGCGUAAAGCGCGCGUAGGCGGAUUAGAAAGUUGGGGGUGAAAUCCCGGGGCUCAACCCCGGAACUGCCUCCAAAACUGCUAGUCUAGAGUUCGAGAGAGGUGAGUGGAAUUCCGAGUGUAGAGGUGAAAUUCGUAGAUAUUCGGAGGAACACCAGUGGCGAAGGCGGCUCACUGGCUCGAUACUGACGCUGAGGUGCGAAAGUGUGGGGAGCAAACAGGAUUAGAUACCCUGGUAGUCCACACCGUAAACGAUGAAUGCCAGUCGUCGGAUAGUAUACUAUUCGGUGACACACCUAACGGAUUAAGCAUUCCGCCUGGAAAGUAUGCGCGCAAGCGUGAAACUCAAAGGAAUUGACGG
RNAcentral lists this ribosomal RNA (560 nucleotides) under uncultured bacterium. RNAcentral describes it as "bacterial SSU rRNA". It matches the Rfam family "Bacterial small subunit ribosomal RNA", at positions 338 to 916 of the family's 1533-position model. The record is from RNAcentral.